UGCAAGUCGAGGGAGAAGUUGCUUUCGGGCAGCAGGAACCGGCGAACGGGUGCGUAACACGUAUGCAACCUACCUAUAACUGGGGAAUAGCCCGAAGAAAUUCGGAUUAAUACCCUAUAAUAUUUAGUCAUCGCAUGAUGAUUAUCUUAAAACUCCGGUGGUUAUAGAUGGGCAUGCGGCCUAUUAGUUUGUUGGUGAGGUAACGGCUCACCAAGACUACGAUAGGUAGGGGUUCUGAGAGGAUGAUCCCCCACACUGGUACUGAGACACGGACCAGACUCC
Molecule: ribosomal RNA, 282 nt
Filed under: unidentified marine bacterioplankton
Lineage: Bacteria
Description: partial 16S ribosomal RNA
Rfam family: Bacterial small subunit ribosomal RNA
Source: RNAcentral